UUGAUUUAUUUAUCAAGUUUUUUUCAGACUUCAAAUUAUCAAGAGUUGAGCGGUCCUUCGGCGGGCGCAAAUCCGCUUUCUGAGGGCCGAUGUCCUUUUUCCGUUUUUAAAACAAAAAGAGGACGGCCCGCCGAAGCUGCUUAUCAGCAUAUAAUACACAAGGGUGGGGGGAGGAGUCAGAGUUAACUGACGCACUCGGUAAUGAUCCUUCCGCAGGUUCACCUACGGAAA
This 231-nucleotide unclassified non-coding RNA is filed under the name uncultured fungus. RNAcentral describes it as "sequence contains ITS1". Lineage: Eukaryota; Fungi. The record is from RNAcentral.